This 251-nucleotide unclassified non-coding RNA is filed under the name uncultured fungus. Its description in RNAcentral is "partial contains small subunit ribosomal RNA, internal transcribed spacer 1, and 5.8S ribosomal RNA". The stretch from base 1 to 73 matches the Rfam family "Eukaryotic small subunit ribosomal RNA", at positions 1759 to 1831 of the family's 1831-position model. Lineage: Eukaryota; Fungi. The record is from RNAcentral.
GCAAACUUGGUCAUUUAGAGGAAGUAAAAGUCGUAACAAGGUCUCCGUUGGUGAACCAGCGGAGGGAUCAUUACUGAGUCUCGUACUCCACACCAUUGUGAACAUACCACUGUUGCUUCGGCGGCCGGCGUCCGCGCCGCCGCCGGGGGCACCAAACUCUUGAUUUUCCAGAGGAUCUUCUGAGUCUUACACAAGCAAACAAAACUUUCAGCAACGGAUCUCUUGGCUCUGGCAUCGAUGAAGAACGCAGC